UACAGAGGUCUCAAGCGUUGUUCGGAUUCAUUGGGCGUAAAGGGUGCGUAGGUGGCGAUGUAAGUCUGGUGUGAAAUCACGGGGCUCAACCUCGAAAUUGCAUUGGAUACUGCGUUGCUUGAGGAUUGUAGAGGAGAGUGGAAUUCACGGUGUAGCAGUGAAAUGCGUAGAUAUCGUGAGGAAGACCAGUUGCGAGGGCGACUCUCUGGGCAAUUCCUGACACUGAGGCACGAAGGCUAGGGGAGCAAACGGG
This 253-nucleotide ribosomal RNA is filed under the name uncultured bacterium. Its description in RNAcentral is "partial 16S ribosomal RNA". It matches the Rfam family "Bacterial small subunit ribosomal RNA", at positions 524 to 776 of the family's 1533-position model. The record is from RNAcentral.